GAAUAAUUUGCACCGAGUUGCUUUUUAAGCAAGCGGGGGAACCAAUUUUUGGGGUGAGUUGCUCUUUGCAAGGGGCUAUAACUUUCGGUCCUAACCCGUCAGCUAACCUCGUAGGUGUGGAGAGUGAGGCGUU
Molecule: small RNA, 133 nt
Filed under: Desulfofarcimen acetoxidans
Lineage: Bacteria; Bacillati; Bacillota; Clostridia; Eubacteriales; Peptococcaceae
Also listed under: 1 other name
Description: Desulfotomaculum acetoxidans c-di-AMP sequence
Rfam family: c-di-AMP riboswitch aptamer (ydaO/yuaA leader)
About the family: This family represents a conserved RNA structure found upstream of the ydaO and yuaA genes in Bacillus subtilis and related genes in other bacteria.
Source: RNAcentral